UGAGGAAUUUUCCGCAAUGGGCGAAAGCCUGACGGAGCAAUACCGCGUGAGGGAUGAAUGCCUAUGGGUUGUAAACCUCUUUUCUCAAGGAGGAAGAUAUGACGUUACUUGAGGAAUAAGCAUCGGCUAACCCUGUGCCAGCAGCCGCGGUAAUACAGGGGAUGCAAAGUUUUAUCCGGAAUUAUUGGGCGUAAAGCGUCUGCAGGUUGAUAAUUAAGUCUUUUGUUAAAUCUUUGGGCUCAACCCAAAAUCUGCAAAAGAAACUAUUUAUCUUGAGUGUGGUAGAGGUAAGGGGAAUUUCCAGUGGAGCGGUGAAAUGCGUAGAGAUUGGAAAGAACACCAAUAGCGAA
Molecule: ribosomal RNA, 350 nt
Filed under: uncultured bacterium
Lineage: Bacteria
Description: bacterial SSU rRNA
Rfam family: Bacterial small subunit ribosomal RNA
Source: RNAcentral